This 278-nucleotide long non-coding RNA is filed under the name Eucalyptus grandis. Its description in RNAcentral is "long non-coding RNA (EGRA_LNC005797)". The record is from RNAcentral. Lineage: Eukaryota; Viridiplantae; Streptophyta; Magnoliopsida; Myrtales; Myrtaceae.
GGUGCGUUUGGAAUUAGCAUUUCCAAACCCCUUUAGACCUCCAAAGCCCUUUGGGCUAAAAAAUUGGUGUUUGGCAAAAUAUUUUGUAAGGCAUUUGGCUGAAAGCCUGCCUUGUGAAGGCUGAAAGCCCAAGGCAGGGGCCUUGGGCAUUUCAGCUUUCUCGGUAAGCUGAUACUACUGUUCAUAUUUUUUUUUUUCCAAAAUUAUCCUUACGAACUAUUUGUUUUUCCGUUUUCUGCCCUUGUGAAGAUCACUGUUCAUCUUCUCCGUCGCCGAGG